Molecule: long non-coding RNA, 4080 nt
Filed under: Gadus morhua (Atlantic cod)
Lineage: Eukaryota; Metazoa; Chordata; Actinopteri; Gadiformes; Gadidae
Description: lncRNA (ENSGMOG00000031418.1)
Source: RNAcentral
AUGGACUCGGGAAAAGUGGACAGCUCUACUUCAUUAACGUCCAUUUUCAGGUUACCGGACAGGAAUGUCUUUAACAAUUCUUCAGAUUUCUGCAAUGUGCCGCAAAGGCAUACAGCCUGCCGGAAAUUAAAGGAAGAAGGAGAAGAGAAGGACACACUAUCCGCGAUGUUUGAGCCUGCCUUGCCGGUGAGAUCCCUCCAUUUUUCUACUGUUUUUGUGCAAUGCAUUGCUGGUGGUCUAUUUUUUUGUGUGUUUUUGGUGGAAUACUUUUUGGUGUUUUUGGACUUUUUGGGUUGUGUGUGUGUGUGUGUGUGUGUGUGUGUUGUGUGUGUGUGUGUGUGUGUGUGUGUGUGUGUGUGUGUGUGUGUGUGUGUGUGUGUGUGUGUGUGUGUGUGUGUGUCAUGGUCCACCCCUGGUUUUCCCAUUCACCUGCCUGCCACCCUAAUUAACCCAACCACCUCCACUCCCUCUAUAUAAAUCCACUCUCUGCACUCAGUCUCUGCAUGAUCGUCUCUUGAUACUCAGAGCUUUCCCGCGACUCCAGAAACGUUUCUCCAUCGCUGCCUGUUACCGAACCCUCGCUGUCUGACCACCCGCCUGUUGUCGAGUCCCCGCCGGCCUGUCUGCUCCCUGGUUUCCGGCUCCUCGCCUGCCUGCCUGUCUGCCCUCCGACCGUACCCCCCAGCCUCCCUGAUUGCCUGCCGGUUCCCGAACUCUUGCCUGUCCCCGUUCACUCUGCCUGCCCGACCCUGAUCAUCUGUGCGACCAAUAAAACAUUUGGGGCCCUAUUUUAGCAGUCUGAAACGCAAGUGGGAAGCGCCAAGCGCAAGUAGCUUUGUGGGCGGUUCUAUGGCGAUGUCGCUAGUUUACCGGCGCGAAAAAUGACUUCAAAUCUACAAAGAGUUUGUCUGAAGUAGCCUGAUUACCCGUAGUUGUUGUUUGGGCGUAACGUGCAAUAAACCAAUGAGAGUGCCAGCUCCCAUCCCCUUUAAGAGCCAUGAGCGCAUUUGAAUCUGACGAGUUGAUAUUUUGACAGUGCAUCUGCAGUCUCCGAUGAGACAGAUGCACAUGAAUUUCAAACUUCAAAUGGAUGUUUAUGGCCAAAUAAUAUAGCCUAAUUCACACAUGGAAUAAGGAUUUCUUCCAAAACUUCCAAUACUGAGUCCUAUUUAAUGUGGUUCUAUUUUAUGAUAUACACAAUACAUUAUAAACAUUGUUUCUUAUCAGUAUUGUAUGCAUUAUCGUUAUCGACAUGUGUUCCUAAUAUGCAUGUGUCCCCCCAUUAAUAUAAUACUUGCCAUGGACUGUAUUAUGCGUUACGUGUUCAGUUUGCGUGUGUUUAAACAGAUGGACGCACAGCGGUGGGAGAUGUGUAACACACACAACACACACGCACCCGCAUUCAUUCAUUCUUUUAACACUCAGUCGCGGUAAAACAAUGUUUUCUUACGAUCAAAUACUCAUCAAUCCUAAAAUGUAUGGGCCUGUACACAAUGUCUGUCAAGGAAAUGUGUUUGCUGUACGGUGUUGGCAGAUGCAUUGAUUUGAAGGUACAACUUAUUACCGCUGUAUCAGCUGUUCUUUCCCAAAUAAUUUCCCAAGAAUGUGUGGCUAGGUAGAUGAGGGAAGCAAAGUGUAUGCGCGAGGUGCACAAGCAACAUUAUGCAUGCGCCCUUAAAAUAGCAUCUGAACGCGCCACUGACUUUAAACCAGGUAUUUCCUGGUUUGUGGCGCAAGUGGUUUCUGAAACUGCAAAAUAGCACCAGGAACGUUUGCGCCAGAACACGCCUCCUCCUUUCGCCGAGCCACACCUUGGGGCGCAAGAUCAUUCCCUAAUUUACCGACGUGUGGCGCAGGAGGGAAAAGAACGCUCUGCCCCAGUUGCAAACUAGCAACGACACAUGCUCCAGUGAUUAAGUCAAUUGCGCCGGAUGCAAGAUAGGGCCCUUGGACUGCCCUGUCACCAUUGUCAGUCUGUGCACUUGGGUUCUGCCUAACCCCCCCGUUACAGUGAAAGUGAGUGUGUGAUGUUGUGUAAGUAUGUGUCAAAGGAGAAACCCCCUUUGGCACGCCACCAGGAUAUCCUACACGUGCACAUCUACACACCUACCCACACACUGGGAUAUGUGGAUUUUAUUUUUAUCUGUGGGAUCAAUGCAGUAAAUAACUUCACUCUUCAGACUGACAGCCCAUAGAGGACAUUUCAUACCAGCAUGGCUUGGAAAACAGCUCAAUAGUCUGAAAUACAAUAUAUAUAUUUAAGCAUUAAUCUUUUAAUUAUUAAAUUAAGGUAUUUAAACAACAUUUGCGUCUUUAUUUGCUGUUUGUAUUAAUAUGACAUAACGAUAUUUGCUGUUCAACGCCUUUUCUGAUUUCUUCAGCUGGCCUGCACAUAUUUCCUGUUCUAUUGUGUGCUUCGUUCGCUCUCAGCCUCGCUCCUCCUUUUUUGCCCUUUAAGUCUCUCGAAAUGAGAAAUAUACAUUUAAUUCCAUGUGACACUUUGCAUGUGUGUGUGUGUGUGUGUGUGUGUGUGUGUGUGUGUGUGUGUGUGUGUGUGUGUGUGUGUGUAGAUAGGUGUGUAUGUGUAUUUGUGUGUUAUGCACAACAAUACCCAUUUGUGUGCCGUUGGAGUCUUUAUUGCUUGAAGGUCAGGAAGGAAAUCAUGGUGCAUACUUCUACAUUUCCUGCUGUCUUGAUGACAAAAGCUCUCUGGUAGUGGGUAGAUAUUUCCCCACCUGUGGCACUACCACGCAGUGGAUGUAGUGGGGGUGAAAUCCCAUUCCUUUAGAGGUAAGCUUAGCUGCAGUUAUUCGCCAGGUCAGAACGGUAUGUACUGCGGCGCACCAGGGCCAAAUUUAUCUAGGCUUCAGAAUUUCAUUAUUCGACUAGAAAUAACCGUUCAUAAUGGUAUUCAUUUGACACUCCACUGGUGCGUGUCCUGGUGAACCUCCCAUUAGAGGGCCCUAAUUAAUCAUAGUUUGUGUGUCUGUGUGUGUUACUGUGAGUAUGAAGCUUAAUGUAAUGGAGUUCCCGCAAAGAGAGUCAACUUUUACCCUGUGCAUUUGCGUGUGUGUGAAUGCGUGUGAGUAAAUGUGUAUGUAAGGGAGAGGGCUAUUUGAUUGGGGUAUGGAUUUAAAAAUAAAUUUGCUCCACCUCAAAUUCGCAAAGGCCAACCAAUAGGUUGGCUAAGAACACAUCAUCAUAAUUUCUGAAUAAAUCCUGGGACGAUGCUCAAAGGCACGAAAAGUAGGCAGGGGCUCCAUAGUAAUGGCCACCCUAUAGUUGGUCCACUGGCAGCCAUGCUGUAGACUCUCAUUCCACCUCCUUGGCAACCCCUCUUAGCCACAUUACUCCUUAUUAGGAAACCUUAGUUUUGCCACCUCUUCCCACUACACAUGGCUGGUUACACCAAAAGUAGUUUUUAUUAAAUAAGACACGUCAAAUUAAGGAUUAUUGUGGAUUGAAACAAUAUUCUUUGAGAACUAACAUUUGAAAACUAUUUGAUAAUUUUUUUUCUCCUAGUCUUUUAUUUUAUGAUUUAGUCAUAUUAUUGUUGCUAAUCUUGUUGCUACCGUGUGCUUUCCUUUUUUGCGUAAUAAUCAUAGUUCUCCCUAAUCUAUGCCGUUUUCACACGUCCUACUUCUUUUCUCCACAUUUGUCAGGGGUUUCGACCGUGAGGGUCAUUCACACUUGAUGCCCGAUAUGCGUACAUCGAUGUCACUCAGAAACUAUUAAGGACCCGUCCACACGGAGCCGAAACGGGCAAACAAUCCGGUUUCGUAUUAUGCGGUUCAGGAAUAUCUCCGUAAAGACAGUCAUUGCGAAACCGCAUCGAGCUGCAGAAACGCUGUAGUAAAUAAUCUACAUCUGGUUCUCCACAGAAAAAGUGGAGCGCAUCAAGCCUGCGCGCAUACAGCCUGUGCGCUGUAUGCGCGUGACUGAAUAUGACUGAAUAUCCUCGCGACUGACUAUACAAACAUUCAGUCACAAGGAAAUUGAGCAGAAAUACUUUUUAAUGUAAAGUCAGAAAUUCAAUUUAUCAAGGGGCUUUAUUUAAAGCUACAAGAAGAAUACAAAUAA